Alosa alosa (allis shad) is the source of this 376-nucleotide long non-coding RNA. RefSeq lists it as uncharacterized. The record is from RefSeq and is a predicted model, not a curated record. NCBI's taxonomy places the organism in Eukaryota, Metazoa, Chordata, Actinopteri, Clupeiformes, Clupeidae. The transcript is spliced from 3 exons.
GAGAGUAGCCUACACUUCCUUCAGGAGGACAGAGGACCACAGCAUCACCUGCAGCUUUCCCUGAACUUAGUUUUCAUUAGGUGUGACAGCUGUGUGUGUUGAGCAUGAAAACUCCUGGAGCUGCUGUGCUGCUGUUGCUUUGGGCUGGUAUAGUUGCGGUUGCAGGGGAGACUUGCCAGCCUGACAUCUACAAUGUGCUGAAGGAGAUCAGCGCUCUGGUGAAACAACUUAGGUGGGAAACCAAUGCUCAGGCAAAGGAUCUGACGGAAUUGAGAAGGGAAAGAGAUAACAGCAAGGUGUCGUUCUCUGCCUCACUGAAAACAUCACCAGGUCAUCAGUACUACGGUCCCUAUAAUAGCCCUACCACACUGAUCUA